RNAcentral lists this long non-coding RNA (1131 nucleotides) under Monodelphis domestica (gray short-tailed opossum). RNAcentral's name for it is "lncRNA (ENSMODG00000046850.1)". The record is from RNAcentral. Lineage: Eukaryota; Metazoa; Chordata; Mammalia; Didelphimorphia; Didelphidae.
AUUAUAGUGUGGAAAUGUUCAAACCCCAUGUACCUUUGCCUCUGUGGGGUACUGGGGAGUCCUGUUCUGCCAAAGGUGAUUUUUAUGCUCCUUUGAUGUAGUCUAUUUCGUUCGGUGCCGGGGAGAGGAAGCAUGUGGCGUCUAGAUUGCAACCAUGAUUACCCGGAAGUCAAUUUUUGUUUAAUCUUAAUUAAUGAAAUUUGUACUUUGGACUAAAUUAAUGUCUGAGGUGAAUUGGAUAAAACAAUGUGCUAAGAAAUAUAGUAUGUAAAUAACUAAUUAGUAGGUAAAAAUAAUACCUCGUGGAGUGAAGUUCAUGGGGCUAUUAAAUGAAUUUUAAUCAGAGUAUGGGGCAUUUCAGUUAAGUCUGUUGGGAGGAAUAUAAUAGUUAAGUUUUAAGCACGUAGGUACUUGAGGAGAAGAAGACCAAAAGAAAAGUUCUAUUCUGCUUUGAGUAGAGGCUUUGAAGGUGUAUGAGAUGGAAUAAAAUGUAUGAUUCUCAGAGUAAAAUAAUUGGUUUUUCCUUCUACCCCAUAUUCCCAGAGUAGAGAUAAUCAGUUGAGUUUCCCAGGGGGGAAGGUUUUAUCAUGUUUCAAUAAUGUUAAGUUCACAAAGAAGAUUUUUUACUCAUCUAACCUCUCCCAGGACAAAACCAGCCUGGGAAAGUACAUUUUCACUUCUAACUUCAAGGACAAUGCUCCUGAGAGUGUUGGAGAAGAGAAGGAGAUCACUGAGAUUUUCUGACAGCUUCGACCCUGGGAAGAAGGAUAAAGAGAGAAUGCAAGUGAAACUGCAGGGAGAUUUGAAGCACAGAAAGCUGAAGCAGCAAAAGGAGUAUGCAACUAAGACUAAAAGUAGUGAAGAAGUAAGUCUGUAUUGGUAAAGUACUUUUGAUGAUGAGAAAUCCUACAUGCCAAUGAAAUCAUCCCUGGAUUAGGGAGGAAUGAAUGCUUCACCUGCUUUUAUUUGACAUGGUUCUAAAAGUGUUAGAAAUAACAAGCAGCAAAGAAAUUGAUAAAGACAGAAGAAAAUGUUAUGAUUUACUUGGAAAAUCCAAGAUAAUCAGCAAAGAAACAGAGAUAAUUAAUUUGAUCAGUAAUGAUACACAAUAAAAUUAAUCUGUAUAUAACA